Molecule: small RNA, 29 nt
Filed under: Bombyx mori (domestic silkworm)
Lineage: Eukaryota; Metazoa; Arthropoda; Insecta; Lepidoptera; Bombycidae
Description: ovarian small RNA-20636
Source: RNAcentral
UACCAUUGCACACUACACAUUAAUUUAUU